CAGCAUUUCCUGAAGGAAGCAGUCGCUCUUCGUUGCCAGCCCCUGCUGCAGGAAGGAAGGCCAAGCCAGACACAGGCACAGGCACAGGAGACUGGGAUACUGGGAAGGCUUCUCCAUUAACCUGGAGGUUUGAAAUUUUGAAGCCCACUGAGGGUUCUGCAGUUACAGAUGUGACUGCAGGGAAGACUUCCCUAGCACUUGGGCUGCAUGCUGCGCACCAUCCCAGCUCCCAUCACAGGGAUUCUCCAACAGGAAAGCCCAAACACACGACAG
Molecule: non-coding RNA, 273 nt
Organism: Agelaius phoeniceus (red-winged blackbird)
Lineage: Eukaryota; Metazoa; Chordata; Aves; Passeriformes; Icteridae
Source: RefSeq, a predicted model, not a curated record